GCUUCUACAGAGCCCAGGCCACCACGAGUCCCGUCGCUCCCCCUGCAGCAUCCAGCCAUAGGCUUCCGACUAAACAAAUUUUCCUGAUGCCUGGCAAUGGCAGGGGACGCAUAAGAGCCUGGCCACCCAGGUGUUCCAUCUGAAUACUACUCACCCCCUUGUGGCUGGCUGGCCCCGGCCUCCCCAGCCACCUUAUUACAGAUACCGUGCGAUCUGUCACUCCCCUUGUGUCAUGCAUAGGCAUUAAACUGGCUGCUGUUGAAGGAAUCCAGGUUCAGGAAGCACUUGCAACGUAGUCGUCUCCCGCGGAACAUGAAGGAUUAGGGGAUGUUCAGAGAAUGGAAGUUCUUCUUGGCUUGGUCUGCGGAGCGACCUUCGAGGGCCUUGCCCAGUGGGAUGUUCUUCCUGGGCAGGGGGAGGGAGCCGAUGUGGCUGGCUCUCUGCCACUGUGGGCAAGGGAGACAGCGAUGUCCUGGAGCCCUUGCUGAAUGGAAUUGGCAAGUUCAUGGAAGGAGGAGAUGUUGCAGUUGGAGUUCCCAUAAGUUUAGGUGAAAUUCUGGCCAGCAUGCGCCAGCAACUACAAAAUUUACUGGCAACAGUCGAUUUGUUAGAAAAAUUUGUUUAAAAUGAAAAAAAAAAAAAAAUAAAUAUAUAU
Molecule: long non-coding RNA, 655 nt
Organism: Pseudophryne corroboree (corroboree frog)
Lineage: Eukaryota; Metazoa; Chordata; Amphibia; Anura; Myobatrachidae
Exons: 3
Source: RefSeq, a predicted model, not a curated record